CUUCCGGAGCUAACGCGUUAAGUCGACCGCCUGGGGAGUACGGCCGCAAGGUUAAAACUCAAAUGAAUUGACGGGGGCCCGCACAAGCGGUGGAGCAUGUGGUUUAAUUCGAUGCAACGCGAAGAACCUUACCUGGUCUUGACAUCCACAGAACUUUCCAGAGAUGGAUUGGUGCCUUCGGGAACUGUGAGACAGGUGCUGCAUGGCUGUCGUCAGCUCGUGUUGUGAAAUGUUGGGUUAAGUCCCGCAACGAGCGCAACCCUUAUCCUUUGUUGCCAGCGGUCCGGCCGGGAACUCAAAGGAGACUGCCAGUGAUAAACUGGAGGAAGGUGGGGAUGACGUCAAGUCAUCAUGGCCCUUACGACCAGGGCUACACACGUGCUACAAUGGCGCAUACAAAGAGAAGCGACCUCGCGAGAGCAAGCGGACCUCAUAAAGUGCGUCGUAGUCCGGAUUGGAGUCUGCAACUCGACUCCAUGAAGUCGGAAUCGCUAGUAAUCGUGGAUCAGAAUGCCACGGUGAAUACGUUCCCGGGCCUUGUACACACCGCCCGUCACACCAUGGGAGUGGGUUGCAAAAGAAGUAGGUAGCUUAACCUUCGGGAGGGCGCUUACCACUUUGUGAUUCAUGACUGGGGUGAAGUCGUAACAAGGUAACCGUAGGGGAACCUGCGGUUGGAUCAC
RNAcentral lists this ribosomal RNA (683 nucleotides) under Escherichia coli. RNAcentral describes it as "bacterial SSU rRNA". It matches the Rfam family "Bacterial small subunit ribosomal RNA", at positions 843 to 1526 of the family's 1533-position model. The record is from RNAcentral. Lineage: Bacteria; Pseudomonadati; Pseudomonadota; Gammaproteobacteria; Enterobacterales; Enterobacteriaceae.